Molecule: ribosomal RNA, 468 nt
Filed under: uncultured bacterium
Lineage: Bacteria
Description: partial 16S ribosomal RNA
Rfam family: Bacterial small subunit ribosomal RNA
Source: RNAcentral
GACGAACGCUGGCGGCGUGCUUAACACAUGCAAGUCGAACGGAAAGGCCCUGCUUUUGUGGGGUGCUCGAGUGGCGAACGGGCGAGUAACACGUGAGUAACCUGCCCUUGACUUUGGGAUAACUUCAGGAAACUGGGGCUAAUACCGGAUAGGAGCUCCUGCUGCAUGGUGGGGGUUGGAAAGUUUCGGCGGUUGGGGAUGGACUCGCGGCUUAUUAGCUUGUUGGUGGGGUAGUGGCUUACCAAGGCUUUGACGGGUAGCCGGCCUGAGAGGGUGACCGGCCACAGUGGGACUGUGAUACGGCCCAGACUCCUACGGGAGGCAGCAGGGGGGAAUAUUGCACAAUGGGCGGAAGCCUGAUGCAGCAACGCCGCGUGCGGGAUGACGGCCUUCGGGUUGUAAACCGCUUUCGCCUGUGACGAAGCGUGAGUGACGGUAAUGGGUAAAGAAGCACCGGCUAACUACGUG